Molecule: ribosomal RNA, 780 nt
Filed under: Phlyctis boliviensis
Lineage: Eukaryota; Fungi; Ascomycota; Lecanoromycetes; Phlyctidaceae
Description: SSU rRNA
Rfam family: Bacterial small subunit ribosomal RNA
Source: RNAcentral
UCAAUAGCCUAACGGCUGAACCAGCAACUUGGAAGAAUGGAAUAGCGAAAGCUAAUUGUAGAAAUACAAUAUUAACAAAGUUAAAUAAAGUUCUGGAUAGAAUUAUGAUAAUGACAAAUUCUGUCUAUAUGUCUUGACCAAGUCACGUGCCAGCAGUCGCGGUAAUACGUGGAAGACUAGUGUUAUUCAUAAUUAAAAGGUUUAAAGGGUACGUAGACGGUUAAUUAAGCCUAAAAGGAACUGAUUAUCUAGAGUUUAAUGUGAAGAGAGUAGUACGGUGAGUGUAGAGAUAAAAUUCAAUGAUACCACCUAGAAACAGGUAACGGCGAAAGCAACCUUUUAUGUAAAAACUGACGUUGAGGGACGAAGGCUUAAUAAAGUAACAGGAUUAGAUACCCUAGUAUUGUGAGCAGACAAUGAUGAAUGCCAUAUAUAAGAUCUAUAGUAUUUUGUAUAUAAAUGAAAGUGCAAGCAUUCCACCUCAAGAGUAAUAUGGCAACAUAGGAACUGAAAUCAUUAGACCGUUUCUGAAACCAGCAGUGAAGUAUGUUGUUUAAUUUGAUAAUCCACGUAAAACCUUACCACGACUUGAAUAUUUAUAACAUUGUUAUAAUUACAGGCGUUGCACGGCUGUCUCCAGUUAAUGUCGUGAGAUCUUGGUUAGUUCCAUUAAAUUAACGUAAACCCUUGCUUUAUUUAUUAUAGAGUAGUUCGCUAUUAUAUUGGUAAUGAUAUAAGGGAUUAAGACAAGUCACCAUGGCCCUAAUGUAGUGGGCUUAA